CCUACGGGUGGCAGCAGUGAGGAAUAUUGGUCAAUGGACGAGAGUCUGAACCAGCCAAGUAGCGUGAAGGAUGACUGCCCUAUGGGUUGUAAACUUCUUUUAUAUGGGAAUAAAAUGUUCCACGUGUGGGAUUUUGUAUGUACCAUAUGAAUAAGGAUCGGCUAACUCCGUGCCAGCAGCCGCGGUAAUACGGAGGAUCCGAGCGUUAUCCGGAUUUAUUGGGUUUAAAGGGAGCGUAGGUGGAUUGUUAAGUCAGUUGUGAAAGUUUGCGGCUCAACCGUAAAAUUGCAGUUGAAACUGGCAGUCUUGAGUACAGUAGAGGUGGGCGGAAUUCGUGGUGUAGCGGUGAAAUGCUUAGAUAUCACGCAGAACUCCGAUUGCGAAGGCAGUUCACUGGACUGCAACUGACACUGAGGCUCGAAAGUGUGGGUAUCAAACAGGAUUAGAUACCCUUGUAGUC
RNAcentral lists this ribosomal RNA (460 nucleotides) under uncultured bacterium. Its description in RNAcentral is "partial 16S ribosomal RNA". It matches the Rfam family "Bacterial small subunit ribosomal RNA", at positions 338 to 795 of the family's 1533-position model. The record is from RNAcentral.